CCUACGGGUGGCAGCAGUGAGGAAUAUUGGUCAAUGGGCGCGAGCCUGAACCAGCCAAGUAGCGUGAAGGAUGACUGCCCUACGGGUUGUAAACUUCUUUUAUAAAGGAAUAAAGUGAGGCACGUGUGACUUUUUGUAUGUACCUUAUGAAUAAGGAACGGCUAACUCCGUGUCAGCAGCCGCGGUAAUACGGAGGAGCCGAGCUGUAUCCGGAUUUAUUGGGUUUAAAGGGAGCGUAGAUGGGUUGUUAAGUCAUUGGUGAAAGUUUGCGGCUUAACCCUAAAAUUGCAAUUGAUACUGGCAGUCUUGAGUACAGGUGAGGUAGGCGGAAUUCGUGGUGUAGCGGUGAAAUGCUUAGAUAUCACGAAGAACUCCGAUUGCGAAGGCAGCUUACUAACCUGCCACUGACAUUGAGGCUCGAAAGUGUGGGUAUCAAACAGGAUUAGAUACCCUAGUAGUC
Molecule: ribosomal RNA, 460 nt
Filed under: uncultured bacterium
Lineage: Bacteria
Description: partial 16S ribosomal RNA
Rfam family: Bacterial small subunit ribosomal RNA
Source: RNAcentral